GACGAACGCUGGCGGCGUGCUUAACACAUGCAAGUCGAACGGAAAGGCCCUGCUUUUGUGGGGUGCUCGAGUGGCGAACGGGUGAGUAACACGUGAGUAACCUGCCCUUUACUUUGGGAUAACUUCAGGAAACUGGGGCUAAUACCGCAUAGGAGCUCCUGCUGCAUGGUGGGGGUGGGAAAGUGUCGGCGGUUGGGGAUGGACUCGCGGCUUAUCAGCUUGUUGGUGGGGUAGUGGCUUACCAAGGAUUUGACGGGUAGCCGGACUGAGAGGGUGACCGGCCACAUUGGGACUGAGAUACGGCCCAGACUGAUACGGGAGGCAGCAGUGGGGAAUAUUGCAAAAUGGGCGGAAGCAUGAUGCAGCAACGCCGCGUGCGGGAUGACGGCCUUCGGGUUGUAACCCGCUUUAGACUGUGACGAAGCGUGAGUGACGGUAAUGGGUCAAGAAGCACCGGCUAACUACGUG
RNAcentral lists this ribosomal RNA (468 nucleotides) under uncultured bacterium. RNAcentral's name for it is "partial 16S ribosomal RNA". It matches the Rfam family "Bacterial small subunit ribosomal RNA", at positions 28 to 507 of the family's 1533-position model. The record is from RNAcentral.